GAGUGUAUAGCUUAGCUGGUUGAAAGCGAUAAACUUUUAAUUUAUAGAUCUUAGGUUCGAAUCCUAAUACACUCA
This 75-nucleotide transfer RNA is filed under the name Pterocladiella media. RNAcentral describes it as "tRNA-Lys". It matches the Rfam family "tRNA". From Rfam's summary of the family: Transfer RNA (tRNA) molecules are approximately 80 nucleotides in length. Their secondary structure includes four short double-helical elements and three loops (D, anti-codon, and T loops). Lineage: Eukaryota; Rhodophyta; Florideophyceae; Gelidiales; Pterocladiaceae. The record is from RNAcentral.